Long non-coding RNA from Cuculus canorus (common cuckoo), 2212 nucleotides. RefSeq lists it as uncharacterized. The record is from RefSeq and is a predicted model, not a curated record. NCBI's taxonomy places the organism in Eukaryota, Metazoa, Chordata, Aves, Cuculiformes, Cuculidae. The transcript is spliced from 6 exons.
GGACCAGGCAGGAAGAGUCCUAUUUGGGCAGGGAAAGGCAGAGAGGCCUACUUCUCAGCCCAAAACUAGCACGGGGAGGGCAGUUCCAGCCCACAUCUGUUGUCAUCUAGUUUCUGUAGUCUGUGCGCCACAUCUUAAGUUUUCUGCAGGUCUUGAUGUCCUCUUUGCACUCAAGGCAUGCCGGACAUGCCUUGGGCACCGUGUCUAGGGUCCCGAAUGCUUGUACUCAUCAAAGCAGUGUCAAUCGGGCACUGCUCUUCUUGCAUCGCAAUCCUAAAGCAUGGAUUGGUCUUGUGUUUGGGAAGUUUCGGAUCAGAUGUCUCUUACGCUGCGGCCUUGCAGCCUGUGUCGGCAUCCAUGUUUGUUAGUCAUCCAUUUUCUUGGAUCCCUGUUCUGGGACUUGUUCGGUGCAUCCUCUGCACCUCUAGGUCUUUCAGCGGGGCUUCCUGUUAUCUUGUUUCUGUAGUCUGUGCGCCACGUCUUCAGUUUUCUGCAGGUCUUGAUGUCCUCUUUGCACUCAAGGCAUGCCAGACAUGCCUUGGGCACCGUGUCUAGGGUCCUGAAUGCAUGUACUCAUCAAUGCAGUCUCGAUCGGGCACUGCUCUUCUUGCAUCGCAAUCCUAAAGCGUGGAUCGGUCUUGUGUUUUGGAAGUUUGGGAUCAGAUGUCUCUUUGGCUGCAGCCUUGCAGCCUGCAUUGGCAUCUGUGUUCGUUAGUCAUCCAUUUUCUUGGAUCCCUGUUCUGGGACUCGUUCCAUGCAUCCUCUGCAUCUUUAGGUCUUUAAACGGGGCUUCUUGCUCCUUCAUCCUCCCAGUUGCGGCUGUAUCUCUUUGUAAUGAGCCAUGAUCCUUCACUUUUCCAGGGCCCCCAUAGACUCUUCGUUGUAGCCCCAUACAGCGUCUUGCCUGAUGGCAUGUGUGGUCCAGGAAUCAUUCUUCCUACAGUGAGUUCUUUUGUCCCUGGUUCACGACAUCUGUCUUGUGUGUGGUGUUGUUCUUUGUGUGUUUUGUAUCUGGCUGGAGCUGCUUUGCCCGAUGCACGGAGGUGAUAAGAGUGAGCAGAGGUAGAAGGGCAAGAUUCUGUGGUUAAUGUGCUGAUAGGCAUACACCUUGCAGUCUGGGGGCGUACCAUUCUUUGCAGAAGAAGUAGCCCUAGGUGCAGUGGGUGAUGAGGAGAGUAGUUUCUGCUUGGCUCUGCAGCCACAGAGGGGAUGACCAAAAGUGUGUGGGAGAAUCCAGUGGAGCAGUACCGGAGCAGUUUAAAUUCAAAGGGAAUGGAACUUAAUGUUUGGGUUUGGUUGUGGAUUUGUUGUGCCUGGCUGUAGUGUGCGGUAGAGAUGGUACCGCUAAAUGGAAGCGAGAGGUCUGGAACCGUUAAGGCGUCACUGAGCAUCCGAGUGACUUCUUUGAUAUUGUUUUUCAGAUGCAGAGGGAUGACCUGUGUGCCAAAUGCCACUGAUGGACUUGUGGGUGGAGCGCCAUAGGGAGGCGAGUCGGCUGUGGUGUAGGUGGAGAGCAAGCCUCAACAUGGCAGCCUGAGAUGAUGGAUGCUGGGCAGGAGAGCGGUCAAGGUGCUACAUGCAGCCUCAGAGGGGUGGAGCUUCAUGCUGAGAAAUGGUUUGAGCGGUGCUGUGCGGGCUGCCUUUGCGAUGGGAAGAGCAGUUGAGGUGCCCCAGGUGAUGACGGCUGCUGCAUUGGAUGUUCGAAUUGGGACGGAACAGAUGAUAAUCAAGAGGAACCUGGCAAUGCAGGAUCGUCCCAGUUAGCUGACUCGUUUUGAGCUUUUUCUGCCAGGGAUGGCUUCAGGCCUUUGGCCCUCUGAAAGUUAAGUUGAGGGGGUUGUGUUUUGGGGUUGGGAAGAAGGCAGAAUGUUGAGAAUGGCAGAGAAGGAAUUUAGCACAUGGUAGAGGGCUGUGCUGGAAGAGUAACCUUUUGUGCAGGUAUAGGGAGGGGUUCAAUCCUCAGCGCAGAGCUAGCGUGUGCCAGGCAGGGUAGUUACAGCCUGUAUCUGUUGCUGUUUAGUCUAUGUAGUCUGUCUGCCAUGUAUAAAGUCUUCCACAGGUCUUGAUGUCAUCUUUGUGCUUAAGGCAUGUGCCACGUGCCUCGGGCAUCAUCUCUAGGGUCUUGAAUGUCUGUUCUCGGUAAGGUGCCAAUCGGGCACUGCUUUUCUUGCAUCGCCAUCUUAAAGCUUGGAUCGGUCUUGCGUUUUGGAAA